This 2133-nucleotide ribosomal RNA is filed under the name Colletotrichum falcatum. RNAcentral's name for it is "SSU rRNA". It matches the Rfam family "Eukaryotic small subunit ribosomal RNA". The record is from RNAcentral. Lineage: Eukaryota; Fungi; Ascomycota; Sordariomycetes; Glomerellales; Glomerellaceae.
CCUGGUUGAUUCUGCCAGUAGUCAUAUGCUUGUCUCAAAGAUUAAGCCAUGCAUGUCUAAGUAUAAGCAAUUAUACAGCGAAACUGCGAAUGGCUCAUUAUAUAAGUUAUCGUUUAUUUGAUAGUACCUUACUACUUGGAUAACCGUGGUAAUUCUAGAGCUAAUACAUGCUAAAAACCCCGACUUCGGAAGGGGUGUAUUUAUUAGAUUAAAAACCAAUGCCCUUCGGGGCUCACUGGUGAUUCAUAAUAACUUCUCGAAUCGCAUGGCCUUGCGCCGGCGAUGGUUCAUUCAAAUUUCUUCCCUAUCAACUUUCGAUGCUAGAGUAGUGUUCUAGCAUGGUUACAACGGGUAACGGAGGGUUAGGGCUCGACCCCGGAGAAGGAGCCUGAGAAACGGCUACUACAUCCAAGGAAGGCAGCAGGCGCGCAAAUUACCCAAUCCCGACACGGGGAGGUAGUGACGAUAAAUACUGAUACAGGGCUCUUUUGGGUCUUGUAAUUGGAAUGAGUACAAUUUAAAUCCCUUAACGAGGAACAAUUGGAGGGCAAGUCUGGUGCCAGCAGCCGCGGUAAUUCCAGCUCCAAUAGCGUAUAUUAAAGUUGUUGUGGUUAAAAAGCUCGUAGUAGAACCUUGGGCCUGGCUGGCCGGUCCGCCUCACCGCGUGCACUGGUCCGGCCGGGCCUUUCCCUCUGCGGAACCGCAUGCCCUUCACUGGGUGUGCCGGGGAAGCAGGACUUUUACUUUGAAAAAAUUAGAGUGCUCCAGGCAGGCCUAUGCUCGAAUACAUUAGCAUGGAAUAAUAGAAUAGGACGCGUGGUUCUAUUUUGUUGGUUUCUAGGACCGCCGUAAUGAUUAAUAGGGACAGUCGGGGGCAUCAGUAUUCAAUUGUCAGAGGUGAAAUUCUUGGAUUUAUUGAAGACUAACUACUGCGAAAGCAUUUGCCAAGGAUGUUUUCAUUUAUCAGGAACGAAAGUUAGGGGAUCGAAGACGAUCAGAUACCGUCGUAGUCUUAACCAUAAACUAUGCCGACUAGGGAUCGGACGAUGUUAUUUUUUGACUCGUUCGGCACCUUACGAGAAAUCAAAGUGCUUGGGCUCCAGGGGGAGUAUGGUCGCAAGGCUGAAACUUAAAGAAAUUGACGGAAGGGCACCACCAGGGGUAAAACGCAGGAACUCUGCUCCUAAAAGUAGCCCGAAAGGGUCAGUGGUUGCGCCUGGCUUCGGCCGAACUAAGUACUAGUCUCCCUCGGGAGGCGACACCCUCAAAUUGCGGGGAACUCCUAAAGCAUUCGCUCCAAAGCCGGUCCUCGAAAGAGGCCGGUGGCCAGGUUAACAGCCUCGGGUACUGGAAAAACGCGAAUGAUGCCACAAUGGACAAUCCGCAGCCAAGCUCCUAAGGCCCCUCGGGGCACGGAGAAGGUUCAGAGACUUAACGGGGGUGGGUUCAGAGAUAUCUGGGCCUAAGAUAAAGUCCGUUCUACUAGUGAAAGCAAGUAGAAGCCCUAAACGGGAGCCUGCGGCUUAAUUUGACUCAACACGGGGAAACUCACCAGGUCCAGACACAAUGAGGAUUGACAGAUUGAGAGCUCUUUCUUGAUUUUGUGGGUGGUGGUGCAUGGCCGUUCUUAGUUGGUGGAGUGAUUUGUCUGCUUAAUUGCGAUAACGAACGAGACAUUGACCUACUAAAUAGCCCGUAUUGCUUUGGCAGUACGCCGGCUUCUUAGAGGGACUCUCGGCUUAAGCCGAUGGAAGUGCGAUGCAAUAACAGGUCUGUGAUGCCCUUAGAUGUUCUGGGCCGCACGCGCGUUACACUGACGGAGCCAGCGAGUACUCCUUGGCCGGAAGGCCCGGGUAAUCUUGUUAAACUCCGUCGUGCUGGGGAUAGAGCAUUGCAAUUAUUGCUCUUCAACGAGGAAUCCCUAGUAAGCGCAAGUCAUCAGCUUGCGUUGAUUACGUCCCUGCCCUUUGUACACACCGCCCGUCGCUACUACCGAUUGAAUGGCUCAGUGAGGCUUUCGGACUGGCCCAGAGAGGUGGGCAACUACCACUCAGGGCCGGAAAGUUAUCCAAACUCGGUCAUUUAGAGGAAGUAAAAGUCGUAACAAGGUCUCCGUUGGUGAACCAGCGGAGG